Molecule: unclassified non-coding RNA, 244 nt
Filed under: Hevea brasiliensis (rubber tree)
Lineage: Eukaryota; Viridiplantae; Streptophyta; Magnoliopsida; Malpighiales; Euphorbiaceae
Source: RNAcentral
AGUACUUCACCAUCAUUUCCACACUGCUUGAAAUAUUCACCCAACUCAACUUCUAGCCACCCAUCACUUCUAUUCGGAUGCCGCAGUCUCAGCAUGUGACUCCGCCUAGUACUCCGUAGAUGCUGCUCUAGUUCAGGGUGCAAACAGACUGUUCCUGUACUAUUUCUUUCACCUUCAGAUAUGCCAACUGAAACAUCUAUUGGAUGAAGGAUAAAUCCCCUUGCAUCUGUCCGCAUCUUAAAUA